GACGAACGCUGGCGGCGUGCCUAACACAUGCAAGUCGAACGAAGUAAGUUGCUUCACCAAGUGUUGAAUAGAUACCCCAAGCGCAUUUGCCAAAGGGUAAGCGAAAAGUACUAUCAAUUAAAUAAAAUGGUGAAACAAAAGAAUAGCGAAGAAGAAGCAAAUGCGCUUCACGCUAAUUCCAAGUACCAACACAAAACAAAUUCAAUGUUUGGUGAAGCAACUUGCUUAGUGGCGGACGGGUGAGUAACACGUGAGCAACCUGCCCCAGACUCUGGGAUAACAGUUGGAACAGCUGCUAAUACCGGAUACGAGACGGAGAGGCAUCUCUACCGUCUGGAAAGUUUUUCGGUCUGGGAUGGGACUCGCGGCCUAUCAGCUAGUUGGUGAGGUAAUGGCUCACCAAGGCGACGACGGGUAGCCGGCCUGGAGGGCGACCGGCCACACUGGGACUGAGACACGGCCCAGACUCCUACGGGGGCAGCAGUGAGGAUUUUGCGCAAUGGGGGAACCCG
This 512-nucleotide ribosomal RNA is filed under the name uncultured bacterium. RNAcentral's name for it is "bacterial SSU rRNA". It matches the Rfam family "Bacterial small subunit ribosomal RNA", at positions 28 to 385 of the family's 1533-position model. The record is from RNAcentral.